GUUUCUCUUCAUGCUUGGUUUCCUACAGAGCUUUCUGGACAUGGGCACAGGCCUUCUGUUAGCUCCUAUGACUGCUGUGCAAGGUGAUUGCAUGGGGGAACAGAUUACCCAGAGCAGAUGUGGAUUCUACAGCCCAGUUUUUUCAAAAUCCUGAGAAACCUGAUCUGAAUUCAACGUUAACCCUGCUUUGUGGACAAGACUGGGUGAAAUGACCUCCUGAGGUUCCUUCCAACCUAAAGAUCUUCAUAGCAGAUUUUACAUCCCAGUGAUUUGAGAAGUUGCAUUCAAAACAAGGGACAUACGCUCCUCCCAGAACAGAAUUUUUGUCUAUGGUGUUUUAAGAAAAAACAACCAGUUGCUCCAUCUGUCAGUAAACCUCUUCCAAGAAGAAGGAAAUAUCAACACAACACAAAAUGUGAUUGCCCUUUGAAAGCAAAAAAUGGCAGCAGAGGGGCAGUCUGACAAAAUGCCGCCUGAUGUGGAAGUGUGCCUGAAGCAAAGGUGUGUCACUGAAUUCCUCCAUGUGAAAAUAAUUACACCCAUUAAUGUUCAUCGCCACUUGUGGAAGGUUUCUGGGGACCAAAAAGUGGAUGUGAGCACAGUGAUGUGGGUGAUGCAUUUCAGUAGUGGUGUCAGCAACAGUGGAUCACCUCCAGUGCUACAGAUUUGUAUGAGCAUGGCAUGCAGGCUAUGGUUUAUUGCUGGCAAAAAUGCAUACCUAAUAGUGAUGACUAUGUUGAAAAAUAGCAUUUUGUACCUGAGAUUCUGCUCUAUCAAGUAGUGUUCUUGUGCUCUUUGUAUCAGUUGUAGUUUCCAUGGAAAUAAAUAGGAGACACUACUUUUGGAGCAACCUACAUAUAUUUAGAAAUAUAUGUUACAGUCUGAGGAAUAAUAAAACUGCAUUGAUAAUGAAAGUUAUAUGAGAUUGUGAAGACUGAACUUCAUGGCAGAGAUGAUGAAUAAGACACAGGGACAGGAUGCAUUUUAGACAAAAGCUUGAACUUUCAAUACCUGCACACCAAGUUCAAGCUACUUCAGCUCCUGCAGAAAAAAAAAGCUUACAGUGAACUUGGAGUACUGAGAGGAAAAUUCUGAGUGAAUGUGACAAUGUGAUUCUGUAGCACAGAGUAGUUUAACCACUCCUUGUUCAAAAUAAUCAUAUAAUCAUAGAAUCACCAAGGUUGGAAAAGACCUCCAAGAUCAUCCAGUCCAACCAUUCACCUACCACCACCACUUCCCUACUAAACCAUGUCCCUUAGUAGAACACCUAAACAUUUUUUGAACACCUCCAGGGUUGGUGACUCCACCACCAGCCUGGACAGCCCAUUCCAAUGCCUAACCAUUGCUGCAGAUAGAUUUCCUAAUGUCCAACCUGAACCUCCCCUGGCACAACUUGAGACCAUUCCCUCUCAUUGUAUCACUAGUUAUGUGGGAGAAGAGUCCAACCCCCACCUUGCCACAAUCUCCUUUCAGGGAGUUUUAGAGAGGUAAAAGUUGGAAGAAAACUUAUAUAAGUAGAUGUGGGCUCUUCAGAUUACAAGGCGGUUCUGACACCACAAAUGAGUUACAAUAUUAACUCUAAAUUCUAGUAGUGAAGAAAUACGUAGAAUACGAUACAAGCAAAGCCUGGCAUUUUUAACAGAAAAUGGACCAUGUCAGAAUAACAGAAUUGCCUAGGAGGACUGAGUGAUUGAAAAUUUGAUUGGUAAUUUAUGUACUUGUUUCUGUGCAAUACCAGAAAACAGGUGGUCCUUCCAGGAAAAAGGGAGAAACUGACUUCAUUAAAAAGGACUUUACUUUUAUUUGCAAAGUAAUGGUGUAAAAAUUACUGAGAACCUGCAGUCCAGGAAACGUCUGGUUUUGUCCUUCUGACAUUUUAUGUGGUCUGCCAACAUCACUUGCAUAUAAUUAUACUGGUUUUAGCAGGACUACUGCCUCUGGAACUUUAAUGAGUAGAAAUAUGUUGCAAUGUUGGCAGACAUUUACUCUUUUCUAAACUUUCUAAACCACGAUGUUUGUGCAAGAUCCUAGCUGAGGAUUUUUUUUUUUUCUGGGUUGGAUCAGUUCAGCUUCCAUAGGAUUCAAUGUAACUAUUAAUUUUUGUUAUCUGUUGUCUGCUAUCUGUUGCUUGCAGGACCUACAGGCACAAAGCUCACUAUGCAUAACAGAGGACAUUGUCCAUCACAACAAAGGGCUAAAAAAGUGAAGAUAAACUAGCGCAUACGAGGAAAUUAUGGGACAGUGUCAGUUACAAAGGCUUGUCUCUUGCACACUAGCAGAUGAAUCAUCAUCCGUGGUUUUGGGGAGGAUGUUUAGACAUUACAGCAAAGGUGAGUUUAGAGUGGGUAUGGAGAAGUUAUGCACGUUUAUAUGGAGCUCAACGUAGGUUUGAACAGAGGCAUUUUUUAUCAGAUAAACAGAUGGGCAAUAUGUGGACUAAUUAAAGCUUGAAACUCAUCCCUGGAUAAUAAAUGAAAAGUGAUUCAUAGAGUGAGAAUAGUUGUCAAUGAUUUGACAGCUAUUGAAAAGUGAUUUUUUCAUUUGUUUGUUUAUUGUGAGGGGAACUGUCAAAAAUGCAAGGAGCUGCGUGAGCUAAUCGAAGUGUUAAGUUUUGAAGACAGUCUUGGCAGCAGUCUAUAAAGAGAUAUGUCUGCAACAAAAAUGCCUUUGUCAGGGCCAAGAUGCUACAGUAAGCGAUCUGUAAAAUAACUCCGACCUUAACAAGAAUUUUAACAGCAUGAAUGGAUGAAAGAGGCCACGUUUUAGGGAGGGUUCUGCAGGAGUAGCUAAAAGGCUAAAUUAAAGCUGGUGCCUGUGGGUGUCUAUGACUGGUAGGAUGGGGAGAGACCUCUGAGAAUUUUGUGAGUAGGAAGACAAGAAAGAGAUGGCUGGGAAAUGAAGGUUGAGAGUUUGGUCUUGGCUAUGCUGGGCUUGAGAUGGUGGCCAGGCAGUUCCAAAGGCAUGUCAGCGUGCCUAGGUGAAUGUAUGAUGAUGAAUGUAAUGUGUUAGGUAAGGGGUUAGGUCUGGAAUGUAGCAGCAUCCAUGAUCCUUCUGAUAAUGAAAUUUGUAGGUGAAAAGAGGCCAAGAGAGACUUUGGAAGGAAAUCACAUGAACUACUGUAAGUGUAGAAAAUGUGACUUCAGAAGAAAUCACAAUAAAAUCAGGAUAUUUUCAUCUGAAAAAGGCUAAGGAAAAGUACAGUUAUAGUCUACUUAAGCAUUACAAGUGACUGCAAAAAUGGAGAAAAUUAACUGUUCUCCAUGGUGAUCAGAACUAGAAGAUGUCAACUUGUAUUGCUGCAAGGGCUAUUUAGGUAAAAGAGGAGAAAAAUUGCAGUGAUAAAAGUAGCAGUGCAUGAAGGCUGUGGUACCCCUCCACUGAAAUUUUUAGGAACAGAUGUGCAUCUACAGUGAAAAGCAUGUGAAAAAAACUCCUUAUUAAUGUAUGUGUUUUUUUUUUUUUCACCUGUAUGUUUUGUGCUGUAAAUUUCAGUGUUAUUAUAAUUAGACUACUAAUAACUUUGACUAGGUUAUUAAGAUACCAGUUAGGCUCACCAUAAAUGCUUAGCUCCAUGUAUAUGGUGUGUACACCUCUAAGAGCAUUUUGAGCAUAGCACGUACAUUACUUUUGUUUCAGGAUAUGAUUCAUUUUUUUCAUAUGAAAGUUUGCUUCCUUCAUCUUAAACGGGAUUACUUAACUCAUUCAAUGCUUUAUUGUUUUAACAUUGAUAGCAUAUUUGAUGGGUAAGAUACACAGUUUUAAUACUGUUUCAAAGAGGAAAUAAUAGAAGAUGUUUGAAUAUUACAGAAUUAUGACCUGAUUUUACAUGGGUAUUUUCUACGCUAGCGGCAAUCAUGCAGAAAAAUCUGUUUAGCCUAAAAUGGCAGUGUUAAUGACCUUGUACAGGAAGAGCAAUGCAUAAAUUGAUGGAGCUUUUACAGUAGGAAGAUAACCUUGGUCAUCCAAAGCUUUUCUACAGAGGUCAGAUGGAAUUAAACAUAUAAGGAAACAACUUCUCUUUAAAGUCUAGCCCUGUCCCAUGGCUGCUUGUUAAAUAUAGUCUUGGAGUACAAUAUUCCUUCCGUUCUGUCUCUUGAGCAGCUACCUGCUCAGCUUUUUUCUUGAAUCUAUGGAUGAAGGGGAAGGAAAUGCCGAUGGCUAUGAGCCCAUAAUGUGCUGGAGGCAAUGACCCUGUCACUGUUUAAUGCUCAGUGUUAACUGAAUCCCCAAAAAUAGGAAUUACUGGGAAGGAAUAAGGUGAAAUGACAUCAAUACUGUUCUGCUUUGUUUUGUUUUCAACUGCAUUCUCUUCUCAUUUUUACAGCUUAAGCUACUGUUUUUGAUUGUAAAGGUUUCUUCAAUUUUUUCAAUGUAUUCAGAAGUCAAGGAGACUUUUUACCCAAAGAAUUUAAUUAGGUUUCCCACAAAUUAGUUAUUUUUUCAUCUGCUUUUUUCUUCAUCAUAACCCCUGUUGCUAGCUUUUCUCAGUUUAUCUGAGAUAGCACUGAAGGUGUUUUGGGAAUUGAAUACCUACAUAAAUGUAACUUUAUUUGCUUGGUUGAAAUGACAAAUAAAAAGAAUGGACAAGUGCUGGCCAACUGUUACUUGGAAAAUUUGUGUCUGAACUUUGAAUCUUCUUAGUAUAUGUUGACCAAAAAAACCUUAAAUCAUCUAUUCCUUGUGUGUUUUAAACCUGUGGCUAGUUAUCACUGUAGCUGAAAGCUGAAACAAGUUGCCCUGAUAGAAGCUGUGAACUAGUCUGAGACUCUGCAUUUACAACUGAUGGUUUUCAUUAGCCCUACUUUGACAUUGUACUUCAGUUCCUCAAUAACCACAGCAGAGCUCAAGAAAUAAUUGGGCUUACUAUCUAACCACUGUUUAAAACACCAGAACACCAG
Gallus gallus (chicken) is the source of this 4898-nucleotide long non-coding RNA. The record is from Ensembl. NCBI's taxonomy places the organism in Eukaryota, Metazoa, Chordata, Aves, Galliformes, Phasianidae.